Long non-coding RNA from Hipposideros armiger (great roundleaf bat), 1080 nucleotides. RefSeq lists it as uncharacterized. The record is from RefSeq and is a predicted model, not a curated record. The transcript is spliced from 3 exons. Lineage: Eukaryota; Metazoa; Chordata; Mammalia; Chiroptera; Hipposideridae.
CCCGCGGGCGCGGGGCGAUUUCCUUCCGCGCAGGAGCGGGCGCGGGCCGCGCCCCCGCACCCGAGCGCAGCCCCGGGAAGCGGCCGGAGGGGACCGUCGCGGCCGCGGGGUCGGUCCCUCCCGGAGUGGCUGUGACAGCAGCGACGGCAACAGCUUCUACGCAGUGGGUGAUGUCUCAUUUCGCCACAGUACCCGCUAGCCGAAUUCUCAAAAAUAAGGAGAUGGAAUAAUUGGACUCUUUCCUUUGUGGCUGUGGAUACAUCCCUAAUCACAUUCUCUGAGACCCUGCUGGAGGGACUGAGCAAUGGACCAAAAGACAUGGAAAAAGACGAUGAUAAAAAGACAAGAGGGAGAACCGAGUAAAAAUAUGGAGAUGACGAGAGACAGAGCAGAAUGUGGAGAGAGGGUAAUAGAGGGAGCUGCAGCACAUGAGCAAAAGAGAAUGGACAGAGAAAAAGAAUGAAGCUUGAUAUGUAGGGGUAACAAAAGGCUUAAAUGACAAAAGGAUUAUUUGCCUCAGUUUCUGCUCAGAGAGAUUGUUGCAAGUAGCUGCCUGUCCCUUGCGGUAGGCAUUUCAUUAAAAAAAAACAACAAACAAACCCUGUUACUAUCACCCAAGUCAUAACAAAAAGUAAAGAACAGGGUGGAGGGCCAUGAAACUUGUAAUUUAAGUCGAUGUUCAUCUAGUAGGCAUGCUCUAUCCAGAAUGACAGCAAAGGUGGUACCAUGUUGCCAUUACUGGAUCUCAAGCUGGUGAAGGGAGAGACAUCUAGGGGAGUACUGAUGCCAUUACUCUUUUGAAAGAUGCCAUGAGCCACAAUAGGAUUUCAAAAUCUUGUGGAGUUGCUGAGACUUCCUAGCUCAUUCGUUAUUUUCCAUUUGACCUCCAAAAUGGAGAUCAAACUGAGCGUUUUUCCCUGUGGUUUAGUCAGGAUCAGUGCCUCUUCCUUCACCACCUCAGAUUCCUCAGGAGAAAGAAAUAGCUGUAAGUGAUGAGUCUUAUUCUCACUCACCCCUGCUCAAGACCUUGAGAGACUGUAAGGUUCCUGUUCUGCCGAGUGGUGUAUGCUGGAAUCCUGA